UGUGAUUUUUUUCCCCCUGUGACACCCCAUUGGGUUAUCUUAACUCUGUAAGCAAUUAUACUCUCUGGAAAUCAAUGGUGCAAUCCACUUUGAGAAAAAUACUAUAUCCUACCCUUCCAUGUAUGAAAUGACGACAAGUACUUUGGAAGCUAGGGAGACACAAAAGUUUAAAAUGCUACAAAUUAGCCUGCCUUUUCACAUUUUGUCUGCUUUGUGUUCUUUUUAGACUAGAUGGAUGAAAUUUUCAUCUUCCCGUGGGACUCAUGCAUGUACAGCUGUACAACUUGAUACGCUUACUAGCUGCUUGAUCGUGCCCUGAGGAAAUGUUCAGUGGGGCUUAAAAAUAGUUUGAUACUAUGGAUUCUUCUUUGUUCCAUUUGUUCACAAUGUAGAGACUAAUGGAAUAACCCUAGAUGUCGUAGAUUCGGCUUAGGGCCAUUUGUUUAAUUUUGAUGUUAGGACUCAUUCAUGAGAUUUUGUUAGUUUGGGUGCAUGAGACUUCAUCUGAAUUUCUGGAAUAAUGAACUAAUAUGCAAUGCAAGUUAAUUGUUUUCUAGUGCUUAUGAAAAUGAAUGGUUAUAAUGAUUUGACCUAAAGGUUGACAUUAUGUUUUGAUACUCAUAGACACUGUAGAUCACAGAACAUGGAGCUUGGGUAAGGUCUUUUCUAUCCAUGAAAUUGCAUUUUUGAUUGAUAUUAUUUGUAUCUUUAACUAAUAUGAAGUAUGAAGUAGUGAGAGGGAAAAGAAAAAUACAUAAUAAUUAUGCAGAAAACUUUGGAUGAAUCUUCUAUUUGUUAGUGUAAGCAAAAUAACCAUUUUUGUCAGAUUUCAGGCAAUAUUUCAAAAUAUGGCAAUUAUUUUUUGGAAACUCCUGCGCCAAGUUUUUCAAAUGUCUGUCCAUUUAACACUUAUGAUGCAGUCCACAGUUCCCUCAUCCUUCUAGGCUCUAAUCUCGUGCUUUUGUUCUCAGCCGAGUACCAUUACCUCAGCAUUAUUGUGAAUGUACUCCAAGUUAGGCUUAUGCCUCUUGAAAUUUGGUAACUAGUUGGUCAGCUAGUUUAAGAUCUUAUGUUCUUUUGUACAAAUCUGGAUGCUUGCCAAUGAAAAGUUCAUCAUUCAUUCUGAUUAAAGUUGUGAUGGAAAUCUUCUUCUUAAAUGAAAACAAACUAGCAUUGUGCACAGCUUCAUGUCACACUGUUAAUUUUGCUUUAGUCUGUACUUUUCUAUAUAUGAAUUGGUUUAAACUGUACCUGCUUUGUAGUUACACCUCUUAAAGCUGUAUUUGGAGAUCAGACGAUUUUGAUCCAAGGUUAACAUGCAUCAUUUUGUUUAUGCAGAAGCUUUCACUAUUAGUUACAGAGGCAUACAAAGACGCACACCAGAAAAGUGUUCAGUCAAUGAAGGAGAGGAUGAGUAACCUUGCACAGAGUUUAGGGAUGCCUCAAGGCCUUGGUGAGGGAUUGAAGUGACCAUACUAUUCCAUGGUGCUGGUGAUAUGCAAGCUUCAAUUUUGUAUAGUACUUUACCAUGCCAUCAGUAUCUGAUCAAAUGUACUCAUGGUUUAUGGGAUGGUAGAAGAUUCAGAUCCUGUAAUCUUUGUCUUUGUUACUGAAAUAAGCAGGUUAAUCUA
This is a long non-coding RNA of Macadamia integrifolia, 1631 nucleotides long. RefSeq lists it as uncharacterized. The record is from RefSeq and is a predicted model, not a curated record. Lineage: Eukaryota; Viridiplantae; Streptophyta; Magnoliopsida; Proteales; Proteaceae. The transcript has 2 exons.